AACGUAGGAGACAAACGUUAUCCGGAUUUACUGGGCGUAAAGGGCGUGUAGGCGGUUUGUUAAGUCUGGCGUGAAAGCUCUCGGCUAAACCGGGAGAGGUCGUUGGAUACUGGCAAACUAGAGGACGGUAGAGGCGUGUGGAAUUUCGGGUGUAGUGGUGAAAUGCGUAGAGAUCCGGAGGAACACCAGUGGCGAAGGCGACACGCUGGGCCGUACCUGACGCUAAAGCGCGAAAGCAUGGGGAGCAAACGGG
Molecule: ribosomal RNA, 253 nt
Filed under: uncultured bacterium
Lineage: Bacteria
Description: partial 16S ribosomal RNA
Rfam family: Bacterial small subunit ribosomal RNA
Source: RNAcentral